UACGUAGGUGGCAAGCGUUGUCCGGAUUUACUGGGCGUAAAGAGCGCGCAGGCGGUCGUUCAAGUCGCGUGUGAAAGCCCCCGGCUCAACUGGGGAGGGUCACGCGAUACUGAUCGACUCGAAGGCAGGAGAGGGAAGUGGAAUUCCCGGUGUAGUGGUGAAAUGCGUAGAUAUCGGGAGGAACACCAGUGGCGAAGGCGACUUCCUGGCCUGUUCUGACGCUGAGGAGCGAAAGCGUGGGGAGCGAACAGG
Molecule: ribosomal RNA, 252 nt
Filed under: uncultured bacterium
Lineage: Bacteria
Description: partial 16S ribosomal RNA
Rfam family: Bacterial small subunit ribosomal RNA
Source: RNAcentral